This 604-nucleotide ribosomal RNA is filed under the name uncultured beta proteobacterium. Its description in RNAcentral is "partial 16S ribosomal RNA". It matches the Rfam family "Bacterial small subunit ribosomal RNA", at positions 1 to 603 of the family's 1533-position model. Lineage: Bacteria; Pseudomonadati; Pseudomonadota; Betaproteobacteria. The record is from RNAcentral.
GGCGGCCGCGGGAAUUCGAUUAGAGUUUGAUCCUGGCUCAGAUUGAACGCUGGCGGAAUGCUUUACACAUGCAAGUCGAACGAUGAACCCUAGCUUGCUAGGGGGAUUAGUGGCGAACGGGUGAGUAAUAUAUCGGAACGUGCCUUGUAAUGGGGGAUAACUAGUCGAAAGAUUAGCUAAUACCGCAUACGCCCUGAGGGGGAAAGUAGGGGAUCUUCGGACCUUACGUUAUAAGAGCGGCCGAUAUCUGAUUAGCUAGUUGGUGGGGUAAUGGCCUACCAAGGCUUCGAUCAGUAGCUGGUCUGAGAGGACGACCAGCCACACUGGAACUGAGACACGGUCCAGACUCCUACGGGAGGCAGCAGUGGGGAAUUUUGGACAAUGGGCGCAAGCCUGAUCCAGCCAUUCCGCGUGAGUGAAGAAGGCCUUCGGGUUGUAAAGCUCUUUCGCAAGGGAAGAAAACUUACUUUCUAAUAAAGAGUGAGGCUGACGGUACCUUGAUAAGAAGCACCGGCUAACUACGUGCCAGCAGCCGCGGUAAUACGAAUCACUAGUGAAUUCGCGGCCGCCUGCAGGUCGACCAUAUGGGAGAGCUCCCAACGCG